GACGAACGCUGGCGGCGUGCCUAAUACAUGCAAGUAGAACGCUGAAGAGAGGAGCUUGCUCUUCUUGGAUGAGUUGCGAACGGGUGAGUAACGCGUAGGUAACCUGCCUGGUAGCGGGGGAUAACUAUUGGAAACGAUAGCUAAUACCGCAUAAAAUGGAUUAUCGCAUGAUAAUCCAUUGAAAGGUGCAAAUGCAUCACUACCAGAUGGACCUGCGUUGUAUUAGCUAGUUGGUGGGGUAACGGCUCACCAAGGCGACGAUACAUAGCCGACCUGAGAGGGUGAUCGGCCACACUGGGACUGAGACACGGCCCAGACUCCUACGGGAGGCAGCAGUAGGGAAUCUUCGGCAAUGGACGGAAGUCUGACCGAGCAACGCCGCGUGAGUGAAGAAGGUUUUCGGAUCGUAAAGCUCUGUUGUAAGAGAAGAACGAGUGUGAGAGUGGAAAGUUCACAC
RNAcentral lists this ribosomal RNA (457 nucleotides) under Streptococcus sp. oral taxon 071. RNAcentral describes it as "bacterial SSU rRNA". It matches the Rfam family "Bacterial small subunit ribosomal RNA", at positions 28 to 469 of the family's 1533-position model. Lineage: Bacteria; Bacillati; Bacillota; Bacilli; Lactobacillales; Streptococcaceae. The record is from RNAcentral.